RNAcentral lists this ribosomal RNA (1095 nucleotides) under Triticum aestivum (bread wheat). Its description in RNAcentral is "partial small subunit ribosomal RNA". Lineage: Eukaryota; Viridiplantae; Streptophyta; Magnoliopsida; Poales; Poaceae. The record is from RNAcentral.
AUGGUGUCGGACUCGGAGCUGGUGGAGCGGCUGCGGGAGGUGCUGCGGGAGUCGGACCUCACCACCACCACCACCGGCGCCCUGCGCCGCCGCCUCGAGGAGGACUUCGGCGUCGACCUCUCCGACAAGAAGACCUUCGUCCGGGAGCAGGUCGACCUCCUGCUCUCCGAGUUCGCCGACAAGGCCGAGCCCGAGGAUGCGCCCGCGGAGGAGGAGGAUCCGGAGGAGGUGACGCCGGAGGCCGGGGAAGGAGGGGAGGAGAAGGGCGAGGGGGAGGAGGAGGGGGCCGAGCAGCAGGAGGGGGAGGAGGAAGAAGAGGAGGAAGAGGAGGAGGAGGAGGAGGAAGACGAGGAGAGUGGCGGCGGCCGGAAGAAGAAGCGGCGGAUAUGCGUCGGCACUGUGCAUUCGCGUGUGAUAUCUUUGCCCGAACAGUGGUUGGGUGACGGCAAGAAAAAGGCUGGUGGCUUUACAAAGUUAUGCAGCAUUUCCCCAGCACUUCAAGAGUUUGUCGGUGCCUCUGAGUGUGCCAGGACAGAGGUUGUCAAGAAGCUUUGGGCAUAUAUUCGAGAAAAUAAUUUGCAAGACCCAAGCAAUAGGAGGAAGAUUCUUUGUGAUGAGAAUCUGAAGAAGAUUUUUAACGUCAAUUCGAUUGAUAUGUUCCAAAUGAAUAAAGCUUUGACCAGGCACAUUUGGCCAUUGGAUUCUGAUGGUCCCGUCUCACCAAAGAAAUCGACACCCAAGGAGAAGUCGACACCCAAGGAGAAGUCGACACCCAAAGGGAAGCCUCAAAAGAGAGACAGAAGUGAAGGAAACAAGCAAAAAGGUGGAUCAUCUGGGUCUACUUCUGGUCUUCUUGCGCCCCUUGUACUUUCGGAUGAUUUAGCAAAAUUUAUCGGCACUGGUGAGAGUAUGUUGUCACGAUCUGAUGUUGUGAAGAGAAUGUGGGAUUAUAUAAAAGAGAAUAACUUACAGGAUCCUUCUGACCGGAGGAAAAUAAUCUGCGACGAGAAGCUGAAGGAUCUAUUCCAAGUUGAAUCAUUCACUGGAUUCACGGUGUCGAAGCUGCUGAACCCCCAUUUUACAAAGGCAAAGUAG